Molecule: ribosomal RNA, 1223 nt
Filed under: metagenome
Description: bacterial SSU rRNA
Rfam family: Bacterial small subunit ribosomal RNA
Source: RNAcentral
UUAGUUGGUGGGGUAAUGGCCUACCAAGGCAAUGACGCGUAGCGGGUUUGAGAGGAUGAUCCGCCACACUGGUACUGAGACACGGACCAGACUCCUACGGGAGGCAGCAGUGAGGAAUAUUGCACAAUGGGGGAAACCCUGAUGCAGCAACGCCGCGUGGAGGAUGACGCAUUUCGGUGUGUAAACUCCUUUUAUAUGUCAAGAAAAUGACGGUAGCAUAUGAAUAAGCACCGGCUAACUCCGUGCCAGCAGCCGCGGUAAUACGGAGGGUGCAAGCGUUAUUCGGAAUCACUGGGCGUAAAGGACGCGUAGGCGGGAUGUCAAGUCAGAUGUGAAAUCCUAUGGCUCAACCAUAGAACUGCAUUUGAAACUGGCAACCUAGAGUAUGGGAGGGGGAGAUGGAAUUAGUGGUGUAGGGGUAAAAUCCGUAGAUAUCACUAGGAAUACCAAAAGCGAAGGCGAUCUCCUGGAACAAUACUGACGCUAAGGCGUGAAAGCGUGGGGAGCAAACGGGAUUAGAUACCCCGGUAGUCCACGCCCUAAACGAUGAACACUAGUCGUCGCUCUGCUAGUCAGGGCGGUGAUGCACUUAACAGAUUAAGUGUUCCGCCUGGGGAGUACGGUCGCAAGAUUAAAACUCAAAGGAAUAGACGGGGACCCGCACGAGUGGUGGAGCAUGUGGUUUAAUUCGAAUAUACGCGAAGAACCUUACCUAGCCUUGACAUUGAUAGAACACCCUAGAGAUAGAGUGUUGCCCUUCGGGGAACUUGAAAACAGGUGCUGCACGGCUGUCGUCAGCUCGUGUCGUGAGAUGUUGGGUUAAGUCCCGCAACGAGCGCAACCCUCGUCCUUAGUUGCCAGCAGUUCGGCUGGGCACUCUAAGGAGACUGCCUUCGCAAGGAGGAGGAAGGUGAGGACGACGUCAAGUCAUCAUGGCCCUUAUGGCUAGGGCUACACACGUGCUACAAUGGGGCGUACAGAGAGUUGCGAUACCGCGAGGUGGAGCCAAUCUCAUAAAGCGUCUCUCAGUUCGGAUUGGAGUCUGCAACUCGACUCCAUGAAGCUGGAAUCACUAGUAAUCGUAGAUCAGCAAUGCUACGGUGAAUACGUUCCCGGGUCUUGUACUCACCGCCCGUCACACCAUGGGAGUUGAUUUCACCCGAAAUUGGGAAGCUAACCUUCGGGGGGCUACCACUUACGGUGGAAUUAGCGACUGGGGUGAA